This 23-nucleotide microRNA is filed under the name Magallana gigas (Pacific oyster). RNAcentral's name for it is "Mgi-Mir-375-P4_5p* (star (passenger))". Lineage: Eukaryota; Metazoa; Mollusca; Bivalvia; Ostreida; Ostreidae. The record is from RNAcentral.
ACGUGCGCUGUAUGUAACAACAC